AAAUAAAUUAUGCAACUUGUGAUAGCUUAGACUUUCACGUAAUUCUAAUAAACCCAUCUUUCAGAAAACUAGAUCACACUCCUUGACAUUCUCGCGAAAAUUCAUUCAUUGAAUACCGCGUACUAUUCAUGCGACCUUAAAAAUUUUACCAAUGAAGUUAACGACUUGAAUUCAUGCUGAACCAAGUUCCAAUUCCCGUGUCGGUACUAUGCUAUUAUAAGGGUCACAGAAUGAUAGCUAACAAAUAAAUCUUUUCACAACAAAACUAGGUUCAUAAACUGACAGACCAUAAGGUUGCCUUCUUUCCAUCGAGCUAAACAUAUCACUCAUCUAACCCGGGAAGAGUAAGAAUUUUUGAAACCUUGCGGCAAUCUCCAACAGACGUCGACCAAAUAAUCCGGUCGCAUUUUUUGAUAAUGUGUCCAGACUCUGUUUUCUCAGAACAUGAAGCUAGGCAUGAGUGGGGAGCUAACAACAGCCAAAUAGAUUUAGACUCACAAAUCUGACCUGAGCUAGCUGUACAUUGGUACACGAGGGAGGCUACCUGAUCCGAAUGCAUCAAGAUAGAUCGACGCAGUCAGGUGUGUUCCUUCUCUGCCAGUCUUCUGACCGCAGGUACCUCCACAUCCUUUUGAAAUUGCUAUAAAAAGUGGUCUUUCAACUAUCUAAGAUAGGACAUUAUUUUCAGCUGCCGAGAAUCAGCCAACGGCGUUCUCAUUGUUCAAGGAAUCUUUUUUCAAACUCCACCAUCAAAAAGCUUCCCAGCACAAGUUGUACUACUGGCUCUACAAUGCUACAGCUCUUCUGCGCAGCGGUAACCAGAUCAAGGCAAUCUCAUAAGAAAGCAUGCGCUCUUGCUUAAAACUUGGUCCAUCUAGCUCACGAUUCCGGUAUCCACUAAACCCACACUGUUUCUCCACCACACCAACACUUGAUUACGAAGCACAAAAGCCUAGCAGCAGCAGCAGAAGCAGCAGACGCUUUCACAUGUACAAAAUGUCCAACAUCGACUUGGGACAUAUUAUUAUUUAACAAUUAAUAGAAAGGUAUACACAUAGAAAAACUAUGACAUCUUGCUUAUCUUUAUGCAGAUGUGGCAUACUUUAAGCAUUGCUCAACACAUUAAAACAUUUAUUCAAGCAGAGCCAAAUAAUGGUUUAGAAAGACUCCUAAAAGAAACAAGUACAAUACAGGGAUUACAAACACGGAGCACAAUUAUCCAGAUACUGUCAUUGUCUUUAAUGUUGAUCAGGGCAUUUGGAGAAUAGAUAGUUGGAAACAUGUUUGCUAUUAGCUUCAAAAGACACAAAAAUAAGCAUGUCAAUCAAAUAAAAUAAGACAUGUAAGUAUCUAUUAUGGAUCUACAUAUUGUUUCCUCCAAAGAAAUAAAAUAUGUUUAUAAAAAUCUUGAUGCCAACAAAAGUGAUAUGUCUAGUUAAUAUUUACUAAAUCUUUGAUAAGAUAAAAACUCACAGCUAUACACAAUUUGCAAAAAGGCAAUUUCUCAAAAGAUAAUAUAAUAAAGUGACAAAGUUGACAAAAGAAUAAAAUAAAAAUAAAAAUACUACUUAAGAACUCUACUAAAUAUCAUUACUGAAAAUUGCACUUACACCCAAGAGAUAUUCAUAAGUUUAGGCAUAAAAGGUUUUAUUUGUGUAAAACUUCAGAAAAUUGUGAAUUUCCAAUUAUUUAGACAAACAUAUGAUUAAUAGGACCAUAAAAAUAUACAAAAUAUUAUGGCAAUUCUAGAAGUGUUGAAAAAUGUUUGUCACCUCUAAGACCAAGAAACAUUUCAAGUUGUUUUUGAUGAAUGUUGUCCACCCAUAAGCUCCAAUAUCUAUGUUGUAGUAUAAUGGCAAGGUCUUGUACUAUUGAUUUCUUGCUUUUUGAUUCUUCAUUAAAAAUUUCAACUAUAUAGCUAUGCAUUGCUUUCGAGCCUCAUCAAACAACACAAGACAAAGUUUUUAAGUCCAAAAAGUAAUAAACUAAUAAAGUAUCAUUAAUCUUACUUAUUUAAAGACAUAAAAAGAAUUAGAAAAUAAUAUCUUGGAUCAUUUUUGCUACUUUAAAUAUUCAACAAGAACACAUAUAACAUAAGAGACUAAACUAGAAUGAAGGAAGAAUUGGAAGAUAAAAUGAUGUAAAAAAAUAUAAAUCACAUUUAUUACAAAAGCAAGAAAUCAACUUAUUAAAAAAACCUAUUGAAUAAUUCAAAAAAGAUUUAAAAUAAUAAGGAAAUUUUUAAAAUAAAUCAUAUUUAUAUAGAGCAUAGCAUGAUUAUCUUUAGCAAUAAGAAAUAAAUUAGCCAUCUAAGUUAAUGGCUUAAAUAAAAUAAAAUAUUAGAAUUUAUCAAUAAUCAUGUCAAAUCUUUUACAAGGCUUAUUAGAAUAAGGAUAGUUUCAAGUAGUAAAUUUGGUAUUGUCAUCAAUAUAGAAUAUGUACCUUGCAGCAAUAUCAAAGCGCUUCUCUUAACUACAUAGAAGAGGCUGAGGUGACAAGUUUUGGUUAGGUCCACUCUACUAGAUUGAAAAUAUUUAUCAAAAUCUAAUGGUGAUUCUAACCUAUAAUACUACUCAAUAAAAACUUGUAUUGCACUAAAAAAAAUAAAAAUAAAAAUAAAAAUAAAAAAAAUAAUGAUAUUAGUCAUAUCUAAGAAAUCUACACUAUUAAAUAAAAUAAUGCUUGUGAAAAUCUAGAAACUACUCUUAUAGGCUCUUUUAUUAGUAAAAUUUAUAUUUAUAGCAUUGAUUUGGAGGUCAUAUUUUGUAAGUUCAAAUCCAAUAAUAAUUAUAUGAUCUUUGAGAUUUGUCAAUAAAGAUUUUACUAUGUGAAGCACUCUAAGUAGUUUUGUAUUUAUGUACUAAUUGAAGCUGAUGAUGGUUACACUUGCAUUUGGCAACUUUUUUCUUGAUUUGAAAUAAUUAAUAGAUUGUACAAAAUGAUCCGUAAAGAGAACGUCUAGCUUUCCAACACUAAUUUGAAGUAAAUUAGCACACAUUAUAUAAGAUUUGUCUAUUUCAAUAAUAUUAAUACCACUGAUUCUAUUUUUAACAUCAAGAUUUUGAUAUAAAGAGAACAAUCUAUCGUAAUAAAAAACAAAUCCAACAUAUAUGUCUCUUUUAGCUACAAAUAUCUUGGCCUCAGCUAUUUGAAAUUGGAUCUCUAUCUCCUACCAUAUAUGCAUAGUUUAUCUAUACCAUAGAUAAAUAUUGAAUGGAACAUGAUAAGUUUGUGAUAGAUUGAAAGGCCACACUAAUUGUUCAUACUUGAUUUCAUUUUUUACAAAAUAAAUAAAUAAAUAAAUAAAUAAAUAAAUAAAUAAAUAAUAGAAAUCAAGAGAUAAAAUACAUUGUAAUGAACUGCACUCUUAUGGAU
This 3375-nucleotide long non-coding RNA is filed under the name Physcomitrium patens. Its description in RNAcentral is "long non-coding RNA (PPAT_LNC006996)". The record is from RNAcentral. Lineage: Eukaryota; Viridiplantae; Streptophyta; Bryopsida; Funariales; Funariaceae.